UCCCACUGUCGCCAAAGUGCUUGCUCAUAGGGGGUCAUAUGAUUGUUGGGUUUUCUCUGUAUUUAUUAUUGUGCUAUCUACUGUACAAUAUAAAGCGCCUUGAGGCGACUUUUGUUGUGAUUUGGCGCUAUAUAAAUAAAAUUGAAUUGAAUUGAAUAUACUGUUUUUUACCUUUAGGCUUUGUGUGAACAACUAAAGUGUGUUGCUUAUGAAAUCCAUGAAGUGCUACAGAGAAAAUUUCAUUUUGAUUUAUUUAAUUAACACAUUUUGAACUCUUAAAGAAUUAUAACAAAAGGAAAGACACCCAGCUGAACUAAAAUGAUCCAUGUAGCAAACAAAAUCUGCAAAAUUCUGCCUAAAUAUGUAUUUUACCUGGUUAAUGUGUAUGGCGGGGUGUGGUCUGCAGCGCCACUGUAUGGGAGUCGGACGCACUUGAGCGGCACCCGCAAUCUCGCCUCGCCGCCUUAAAGUCUGUGCUCUCUCUGCUGCUGUGUUGUCGGGCUGUGAGCUGAAAAGCUACAUUUGCCGACCCCUGCCCCUAGGCAUUUGUAUACCUGGAACUGAACCAGUGACCUUUCACUCACCAAGUAAAUGUAAUCAGUUCUCAGUUUUAAAGCUUGUUCCAUGUAGAACAGAGUGUGGCAUAGUGGCAACGUAACAGCGUUUGUAUUGAUUCACAUACAACCUAUAUACUGUUACAUUUGCAUUUGACUGAUUGCAUUUCAGGUAAAAUCUGCAUCACCUGGUUCAAAAGGCCUCUGAUUAAAAUCUUUACACAAAUAAAUACCCUGAGAAAAACUUCCACUAGUGCAUAAAAAACACAAUGAACCAAAAAAAAUAAUCUAAAAAAAACAAAUCAACAAAAUGUGACCAGCUCUUGAAAUGUUUAAACUUACGUAACAGUCCAAAGAGUCUCCUUCAUUAAAGAAACUGUUGAAGUUUGACAGAAAACAUUGGAUAUUGUAGCUACAUGGAACUUUCGUUGGUUUCAUAACACAAAAUAAUAGCAACCUGUCAGACUUUAUUCAGCUGACCAAUCAAUUUCAAACACCAUCAGACAAAUUAUUUAUAAUUCACAGAGCUUAUCUGUUUUUGAGAUAAUCAUGUACAAAUUUAAAAUAAAAUCAAAAUCUACAAAUUUGACAUCUACCUGCUGAAUGUUCAAUAUUGGUCAUGUCUGUCAUUCUUUUCUACUGUCACAUUAAAUGUAUUUUCAUAUUUCAGUGUCAACACCAAGAAUUUGGAACCUCAACAGGAGACUCUGAGUCAAUCUGGUAAAUCUUUGGGACAUUUCAAAACAAGCUGCUACCGACAGUAACAAGAAGAAGCAUGCUAAAAACUGUCAGACAAACUUUCAGCGGAACAGAUCCAUUUUCCCUCUGUUCAGCCUCCUUCCCUCCAGCCUCCUUCCCUCCAGCCUCCUUCCCUCCAGCCUUUGUGUGUCCUCCUGUCUGAGCUGCAGGUGAGAAACAGGUGUGAGGUGUCAGCUGUCAGGUAGGUGAUGAGUGAAGAACAGAACAGAAUCCAUUUCCUCUUCAAACUGCUGUCAGACAUUAUCUACUGCACUCUGAUCACAUCACUCAGACCAGCUGCUUUCUACAAAGUCUCAUCAACAACAUCUUUAGAAACAAACAUCAACAACCAGGAAGCAGCUUCACCUCUGAUCACACACACACUCAACUCUACUCACUCACCUGGAGGAACAACAUGAAGGUAGAUGAUGCUGAUGAUAGUCAGAGGUUCUCUCACUUGUGGGAUGACUCGACACUCGUAUGUUCCAGCGUCAUUAAUCGUCACAUUCUUCAGAAUCAAAGACACGUCUCCAUCCUUCAUCUGCCUGUCCUGCAGAUCCACCCGGUUCUUAAAAGAUGGAUGCUGGUUGGCUGAAUCAAAGUGACCAUCCUUAUAAUAAAGGACAUAAGCUUUACCCAGGUCAGCUCUGCUCCACUUAAAAAGAAUGAUGUUGUUGUUUGGAGCUCGACAUGUCAGAGUGACGUCCUGUCCAGACUCAGCUGUGAUGUUUU
Molecule: long non-coding RNA, 2024 nt
Organism: Oreochromis aureus
Lineage: Eukaryota; Metazoa; Chordata; Actinopteri; Cichliformes; Cichlidae
Source: Ensembl